GACGAACGCUGGCGGCGUGCUUAACACAUGCAAGUCGAACGGAAAGGCCCUGCUUUUGUGGGGUGCUCGAGUGGCGAACGGGUGAGUAACACGUGAGUAACCUGCCCUUGACUUUGGGAUAACUUCAGGAAACUGGGGCUAAUACCGGAUAGGAGCUCCUGCUGCAUGGUGGGGGUUGGAACGUUUCGGCGGUUGGGGAUGGACUCGCGGCUUAUCAGCUUGUUGGUGGGGUAGUGGCUUACCCAGGCUUUGACGGGUAGCCGGCCUGAGAGGGUGACCGGCCACAUUGGGACUGAGAUACGGCCCAGACUCCUACGGGAGGCAGCAGUGGGGAAUAUUGCACAAUGGGCGGAAGCCUGAUGCAGCAGCGCCGCGUGCGGGAUGACGGCCUUCGGGGUGUAAACCGCUUUCGCCUGUGACGAAGCGUGAGUGACGGUAAUGGGUAAAGAAGCACCGGCUAACUACGUG
RNAcentral lists this ribosomal RNA (468 nucleotides) under uncultured bacterium. Its description in RNAcentral is "partial 16S ribosomal RNA". It matches the Rfam family "Bacterial small subunit ribosomal RNA", at positions 28 to 507 of the family's 1533-position model. The record is from RNAcentral.